AGUGGGGAAUAUUGGACAAUGGGCGCAAGCCUGAUCCAGCCAUGCCGCGUGUGUGAAGAAGGCCUUCGGGUUGUAAAGCACUUUUGUCCGGAAAGAAAAGCAUUCGAUUAAUACUCGGGUGUUAUGACGGUACCGGAAGAAUAAGCACCGGCUAACUUCGUGCCAGCAGCCGCGGUAAUACGAAGGGUGCAAGCGUUACUCGGAAUUACUGGGCGUAAAGCGUGCGUAGGUGGUUUGUUAAGUCUGAUGUGAAAGCCCUGGGCUCAACCUGGGAACUGCAUUGGAAACUGGCUGACUAGAGUGCGGUAGAGGGGUGUGGAAUUCCCGGUGUAGCAGUGAAAUGCGUAGAUAUCGGGAGGAACAUCUGUGGCGAAGGCGACACCCUGGACCAGCACUGACACUGAGGCACGAAAGCGUGGGGAGCAAA
This 427-nucleotide ribosomal RNA is filed under the name uncultured Lysobacter sp. RNAcentral describes it as "bacterial SSU rRNA". It matches the Rfam family "Bacterial small subunit ribosomal RNA", at positions 353 to 772 of the family's 1533-position model. The record is from RNAcentral. Lineage: Bacteria; Pseudomonadati; Pseudomonadota; Gammaproteobacteria; Lysobacterales; Lysobacteraceae.